RNAcentral lists this ribosomal RNA (253 nucleotides) under uncultured bacterium. Its description in RNAcentral is "partial 16S ribosomal RNA". It matches the Rfam family "Bacterial small subunit ribosomal RNA", at positions 524 to 776 of the family's 1533-position model. The record is from RNAcentral.
AACGUAGGGGGCUAGCGUUGUUCGGAAUUACUGGGCGUAAAGCGCGUGUAGGCGGCCCCGCAAGUCGGAAGUGAAAGCCCUCGGCUCAACCGGGGAACUGCUUUCGAAACUGCGGGACUUGAGUGUGGGAGGGGAGAGCGGAAUUCCCGGUGUAGCGGUGAAAUGCGUAGAUAUCGGGAAGAACACCGGUGGCGAAGGCGGCUCUCUGGACCACUACUGACGCUGAGACGCGAAAGCGUGGGUAGCAAACAGG